CGGAAUAUAGCUCAGUUGGUAGAGCGGUGGACUGAAAAUCCACAGGCCCAGGAUCGUCGCCCGGUGUUCCGA
Molecule: transfer RNA, 72 nt
Filed under: Caudoviricetes sp.
Lineage: Duplodnaviria; Heunggongvirae; Uroviricota; Caudoviricetes
Description: tRNA-Phe
Rfam family: tRNA
About the family: Transfer RNA (tRNA) molecules are approximately 80 nucleotides in length. Their secondary structure includes four short double-helical elements and three loops (D, anti-codon, and T loops).
Source: RNAcentral